This 507-nucleotide ribosomal RNA is filed under the name uncultured bacterium. RNAcentral's name for it is "bacterial SSU rRNA". It matches the Rfam family "Bacterial small subunit ribosomal RNA", at positions 55 to 607 of the family's 1533-position model. The record is from RNAcentral.
AUGCAAGUCGAGCGGGCGUAGCAAUACGUCAGCGGCAGACGGGUGAGUAACGCGUGGGAACGUACCUUUUGGUUCGGAACAACCCAGGGAAACUUGGGCUAAUACCGGAUAGCCCUCACGGGGAAAGAUUUAUCGCCGAAAGAUCGGCCCGCGUCUGAUUAGCUAGUUGGUGAGGUAAUGGCCCACCAAGGCGACGAUCAGUAGCUGGUCUGAGAGGAUGAUCAGCCACAUUGGGACUGAGACACGGCCCAAACUCCUACGGGAGGCAGCAGUGGGGAAUAUUGGACAAUGGGCGCAAGCCUGAUCCAGCCAUGCCGCGUGAGUGAUGAAGGCCCUAGGGUUGUAAAGCUCUUUUGUGCGGGAAGAUAAUGACGGUACCGCAAGAAUAAGCCCCGGCUAACUUCGUGCCAGCAGCCGCGGUAAUACGAAGGGGGCUAGCGUUGCUCGGAAUCACUGGGCGUAAAGGGUGCGUANGCGGGUCUUUAAGUCAGGGGUGAAAUCCUGGAG